This 582-nucleotide ribosomal RNA is filed under the name uncultured bacterium. Its description in RNAcentral is "partial 16S ribosomal RNA". It matches the Rfam family "Bacterial small subunit ribosomal RNA", at positions 355 to 1375 of the family's 1533-position model. The record is from RNAcentral.
UGGGGAAUUUUGGACAAUGGGCGAAAGCCUGAUCCAGCAAUGCCGCGUGUGUGAAGAAGGCCUUCGGGUUGUAAAGCACUUUUGUCCGGAAAGAAAUCCUUGGCUCUAAUACAGUCGGGGGAUGACGGUACCGGAAGAAUAAGCACCGGCUAACUACGUGCCAGCAGCCGCGGUAAUACGUAGGGUGCAAGCGUUAAUCGGAAUUACUGGGCGUAAAGCGUGCGCAGGCGGUUUGCUAAGACCGAUGUGAAAUCCCCGGGCUCAACCUGGGAACUGCAUUGGUGACUGGCAGGCUAGAGUAUGGCAGAGGGGGGUAGAAUUCCACGUGUAGCAGUGAAAUGCGUAGAGAUGUGGAGGAAUACCGAUGGCGAAGGCAGCCCCCUGGGCCAAUACUGACGCUCAUGCACGAAAGCGUGGGGAGCAAACAGGAUUAGAUACCCUGGUAGUCCACGCCCUAAACGAUGUCAACUAGUUGUUGGGAUUCAUUCCUUAGUAACGUAGCUAACGCGUGAAGUUGACCGCCUGGGGAGUACGGUCGCAAGAUUAAAACUCAAUGAAUUGACGGGGUCAUAGCUGUUUCCU